RNAcentral lists this ribosomal RNA (484 nucleotides) under uncultured bacterium. Its description in RNAcentral is "partial 16S ribosomal RNA". It matches the Rfam family "Bacterial small subunit ribosomal RNA", at positions 30 to 507 of the family's 1533-position model. The record is from RNAcentral.
AUUGAACGCUGGCGGCAUGCUUUACACAUGCAAGUCGAACGGCAGCACGGGCUUCGGCCUGGUGGCGAGUGGCGAACGGGUGAGUAAUAUAUCGGAACGUACCCAGCUGUGGGGGAUAACGUAGCGAAAGAUACGCUAAUACCGCAUACGAUCUAUGGAUGAAAGCAGGGGACCGCAAGGCCUUGUGCUCCUGGAGCGGCCGAUAUCUGAUUAGCUAGUUGGUGAGGUAAAGGCUCACCAAGGCGACGAUCAGUAGCUGGUCUGAGAGGACGACCAGCCACACUGGAACUGAGACACGGUCCAGACUCCUACGGGAGGCAGCAGUGGGGAAUUUUGGACAAUGGGCGCAAGCCUGAUCCAGCAAUGCCGCGUGAGUGAAGAAGGCCUUCGGGUUGUAAAGCUCUUUUGUCAGGGAAGAAACGGUAGAGGCUAAUAUCCUUUGCUAAUGACGGUACCUGAAGAAUAAGCACCGGCUAACUACGUG